Molecule: non-coding RNA, 74 nt
Organism: Podarcis lilfordi (Lilford's wall lizard)
Lineage: Eukaryota; Metazoa; Chordata; Lepidosauria; Squamata; Lacertidae
Source: the annotation of a GenBank genome assembly
ACCUGGGAUAGCUCAGUUGGUAGAGCAGGAGACUCAUAAUCUCAGGGUUGUGGGUUCAAGCCCCAUGUCAGGCA